Betta splendens (Siamese fighting fish) is the source of this 1357-nucleotide long non-coding RNA. RefSeq lists it as uncharacterized. The record is from RefSeq and is a predicted model, not a curated record. NCBI's taxonomy places the organism in Eukaryota, Metazoa, Chordata, Actinopteri, Anabantiformes, Osphronemidae. The transcript has 2 exons.
GACGCCGAGCAAGACGUGAUUCGCCAUCUUUGAUCUCUCCUUAAAUUAUUUUAGUAGCUGUUCGUUAAAUAAGUCGCGUUUUUUAACUCCACACACGACUUUCAUUGACUGGAACGAUCCGGAACCGUGCGAGAUUUUAUUGGCUCUCAUUUCGUAUAUUUGGAUUUUUUCUAUUUUUCUGAUAACCAACUUUAUUAGUGUUGUAUUGGUAAAAUGUUCUCUAAAGUCUAUGUGCCUGUCCAGGACAUGUCGCUGGUGACAGUGAAGCCUCCCUGACACAAGAAGACGUAGACGAAAAGGCCACGGUUACAGGUUGCAGUGUCUACUUUGACCACAAGGUGGCGACCCUGCUUCACCACAACCGAAGCUGCAGAUUUCAAGCAGGUUGGUGUAAUUUUGCAAACAUGAAGUAAACCAAGCACAAACACAUAUAUAUCGGGCACUAUAAGAAAGAUUGUGAUUUAUUUAGUUCAGAAGGAGACUACUUUCUAGUUUAGUCUAAACUACAUUCAUUAGAAAAAGUCUCUCAUUCAUUAGAAAAAGUAUAUCACAAUCUUAAAAUCAAAUGUGUUGUAAAAGGUAAAGUUUAUUUAUAAAAGGGUUUAUUUUUUUGACUAUUCUAAAAUGCAUAAAUCCGUUUUCAUUGUGGGUUAGUGAAUAAAUUCUCAGUGUCUGUGUGAGAACACGCACACACUGCAAGCGUGUCAUUCAAGUGCUCGGCUCAUGUGCAUGUGAUUGAUAUUUCAGGUUGAUCCAUGAGCCUCGCUUUCCUGCAUUUACUGCGUCUCGACCGGAAGCCACCAAUUAAUGUCCCUCUAAGCUCGUUUCCCCUGUGUUUCAAUGGCCUUGCAAAGUCAGACAGAUCAUUUCUGUAUUUCUGUGCGCCGCGGAAACUGUGCGUAAAAGCGCAGAGCGGCUACAAGAUCGCAGAUUUUCCAAAAAGCUAAUGCUUUUUAUCUUAAAAUAAGUUCACUUGUGUGUAAUAUAGACUGUAUUUACAGUCCAGAAUAGUAUCAGGUGAUACUAAAAACUAGUAACAUUUUAGCAACUUAGAAAUUUUUUACAUUUUUAAAUAUCAGCUUUUCGGUGAAGGUUACAAACAUCUGCGUCCAACACGGGGACUUUUACGCCACUACAGUCAAGGAAACACUAAGGAUUACCGAUGAUCUGCAGAAUAAUUCAGAGCACAUUUUAAAUCCUCCCACGGGAGAAACUCGCCACAUGUAAGAAGCUUUUGAGCUAAAACAGAAUCUGUCAUUCAUCUGUGUGUGUGUGUGUGUGUGUGUGUGUGUGUGUGUGUGUGUGUGUGUGUGUGUGUGUGUGUGUGUGUGUGUGUGUGUGUGUGUGUGUGUGUGUU